This 358-nucleotide long non-coding RNA is filed under the name Carica papaya (papaya). RNAcentral describes it as "long non-coding RNA (CPAP_LNC014786)". The record is from RNAcentral. Lineage: Eukaryota; Viridiplantae; Streptophyta; Magnoliopsida; Brassicales; Caricaceae.
UCACUAUUUCAUUAACUAUUUUAUAUCAAGAGGAUCAAGAUCCAGAUCCCGAUCAACAAGACAGUUGUGGAUAGUUCACCAUCUGAACUUCCUUCAAAUGCUAGUGAAGGUUAUCCUAUUGUAGCGCCUGGGGAAAUUGAAGAAGAAGAGAAAAGAAAAAAAAAAAAAAACUGUGCGCGCCACGUCAGCAGACCCAGUCAGCAGUCCUGGCCAACCAGGACCUGCCACGUGGCAAAACCACGUCAACCGGGGACGGGCCACGUUGGCGAUCCGCGUGCGCGCGAUCGGACGGCCCAGAUCAAUCGCGCGCACGGACGGCCCAGAUUUAAUCGCACGGACGGCCCAGAUUUAAUCAAAA